RNAcentral lists this ribosomal RNA (229 nucleotides) under uncultured bacterium. Its description in RNAcentral is "partial 16S ribosomal RNA". It matches the Rfam family "Bacterial small subunit ribosomal RNA", at positions 568 to 796 of the family's 1533-position model. The record is from RNAcentral.
UGCGUAGGCGGGCUAAUCAGUCAGUGGUGAAAUCUUCCGGCUUAACCGGGAAACUGCCAUUGAUACUAUUAGUCUUGAGCUCGGUUGAGGUAGGCGGAAUGUGUAAUGUAGCGGUGAAAUGCUUAGAUAUUACACAGAACACCAAUUGCGUAGGCAGCUUACUAGACCGACACUGACGCUGAGGCACGAAAGCGUGGGGAGCGAACAGGAUUAGAUACCCUGGUAGUCC